Molecule: non-coding RNA, 405 nt
Organism: Cinara cedri
Lineage: Eukaryota; Metazoa; Arthropoda; Insecta; Hemiptera; Aphididae
Source: the annotation of a GenBank genome assembly
AAUUGAUAAACAGUCGUUGCGAUGCGUGCCGUGUGGUAUCGCGUUCCGUUAUUCAGUGUUGUUGACUGUAUUAUGGUGUUGUUGACGUCCUGUUGUCUUUGAAACUGUUUUAACUCUGAAACCACAAUUUGAACUAUUUUACCACAUUAACUGUCCGAAAGCCAUUAAUUUUAGUUUUCAUUUUAUCGCCAUCGAGAACACAACAAUAAACGUCCGCUAUGGAGGCCAUUAGGUGCUUAUCUUUAAUAAUGUUCCGAUGGCUACAAAGUUUGUUGAGCCGCCAUGUUCAACGAUACGAUGGCGAUAAUAUUGCCGCGACUGGUGGCCAGCGAUAACAGUGUGCCCAACGCGGUGAAAUUAUGGACUAGUUGACGAAUUUUCAGAAGUUCAUGUAAUGCGUAAGUA